RNAcentral lists this ribosomal RNA (815 nucleotides) under uncultured bacterium. Its description in RNAcentral is "bacterial SSU rRNA". It matches the Rfam family "Bacterial small subunit ribosomal RNA", at positions 67 to 881 of the family's 1533-position model. The record is from RNAcentral.
AUCGAAAGCUUGCUUUUGAUGGGCGUCGACCGGCGCACGGGUGAGUAACGCGUAUCCAACCUGCCCACCACUUGGGGAUAACCUUUGCGAAAGUAAGACUAAUACCCAAUGAUAUCUCUAGAAGACAUCUGAAAGAGAUUAAAGAUUUAUCGGUGAUGGAUGGGGAUGCGUCUGAUUAGCUUGUUGGCGGGGUAACGGCCCACCAAGGCGACGAUCAGUAGGGGUUCUGAGAGGAAGGUCCCCCACAUUGGAACUGAGACACGGUCCAAACUCCUACGGGAGGCAGCAGUGAGGAAUAUUGGUCAAUGGGUGAGAGUCUGGACCAGCCAAGUAGCGUGCAGGAUGACGGCCCUAUGGGUUGUAAACUGCUUUUAUAAGGGAAUAAAGUGAGUCUCGUGAGACUUUUUGCAUGUACCUUAUGAAUAAGGACCGGCUAAUUCCGUGCCAGCAGCCGCGGUAAUACGGAAGGUCCGGGCGUUAUCCGGAUUUAUUGGGUUUAAAGGGAGCGUAGGCCGGAGAUUAAGCGUGUUGUGAAAUGUAGACGCUCAACGUCUGCACUGCAGCGCGAACUGGUUUCCUUGAGUACGCACAAAGUGGGCGGAAUUCGUGGUGUAGCGGUGAAAUGCUUAGAUAUCACGAAGAACUCCGAUUGCGAAGGCAGCUCACUGGAGCGCAACUGACGCUGAAGCUCGAAAGUGCGGGUAUCGAACAGGAUUAGAUACCCUGGUAGUCCGCACGGUAAACGAUGGAUGCCCGCUGUUGGUCUGAACAGGUCAGCGGCCAAGCGAAAGCAUUAAGCAUCCCACCUGGGGAGU